GACGAACGCUGGCGGCGUGCCUAAUACAUGCCAGUAGAACGCACAGUUUAUACCGUAGCUUGCUACACCAUACACUGUGAGUUGCGAACGGGUGAGUAACGCGUAGGUAACCUGCCUGGUAGCGGGGGAUAACUAUUGGAAACGAUAGCUAAUACCGCAUAAUAUUGAUUAUUGCAUGAUAAUUGAUUGAAAGAUGCUAUUGCAUCACUACCAGAUGGACCUGCGUUGUAUUAGCUAGUAGGUGAGGUAACGGCUCACCUAGGCGACGAUACAUAGCCGACCUGAGAGGGUGAUCGGCCACACUGGGACUGAGACACGGCCCAGACUCCUACGGGAGGCAGCAGUAGGGAAUCUUCGGCAAUGGACGAAAGUCUGACCGAGCAACGCCGCGUGAGUGAAGAAGGUUUUCGGAUCGUAAAGCUCUGUUGUAAGAGAAGAACGGGUGUGAGAGUGGAAAGUUCACACUGUGACGGUAUCUUACCAGAAAGGGACGGCUAACUACGUG
RNAcentral lists this ribosomal RNA (505 nucleotides) under uncultured bacterium. Its description in RNAcentral is "partial 16S ribosomal RNA". It matches the Rfam family "Bacterial small subunit ribosomal RNA", at positions 28 to 507 of the family's 1533-position model. The record is from RNAcentral.